UUGAUUGAUAAAAUAAUAUUAGAGCACACAACUGGGCCACAUUAAAAGCUGCGGCGGACCGGAUUUGGCCCCUGGGCCUUGAGUUUGACACAUAUUUAAAGACUGUUGCUAUAUGACAGCCUCAUGACCAUCAUCGCAUGCUAACAGUUCAAUAUUCGGGUAGCAGAUGCAAUAUUUCACAGUAACAUGUCCUGGAAAGCAUCAUCGGUUGUUGGCAAGCGCUGCUAAUCCGCCUCUUUUGCUUUUGCUUUAGCUCUAUGUCGAUGUUUCAACUUCCUCCUUUUCUCUCCAUUCAACUCUGUGAUUUGAGUUCACAGUUAAGGUUUUUUCUAGCUUUUGAGAUAAUAAACAGCUGCUCCCAGUUUUACAAAAAAAAUACCUUGUUACCACGGUUAAACAUCAUCCAGCAACCGAUCUGUCUAAAAGGAAAAAUAGAAAAAGGGAAGAACUGCCCAAGCAAUUUGAAGAAAAAUCUAGAAAACAAAUGAAUAAGAGUUGCUAAAGUUUGAAAUACAAAUACUCAAGUAAAAUUACAAUUUCAUAGACUUUUUUUAUUUAAAAAAUUCUAAUUUUUCAGUUGCUCCUGCCUCCUGUUUACCAUGAAUGUCUGUUUUUCUUGGCAAUUUAAAUGCUCUUUUUUCUCUGUCUCUUUAAAACAAAUCGCCUGAGAUUUGUAACGUUUGUGAUUGUGAACGCACAUUUUCUUGGAUUUUACUCGACCUUGUGGGGGAAAAAAGUCUUCAGAACAUCUGGCCGUUCGUUCCCGUGGAGGACGCGCCGUGACAACAGCGACUCGCUGAAUUUCCCUGGUACCUUGACUGGCUCCUCACAUCGGGUUUCCAUGGCAACACAGGUUAAAGAGUUGAUUGAGAACGGGCAGAAGAGAAGCAGAUGAUGUCUGUCUUCAUUGAGUCACUCACCUCAAAUUAGAAAAUGACCUGAUAGGCCCACCAGCAACAAAAUAUCAGAUUGAUUUUUAAUAAUGGACAAAGUAAUAUAAUACCAGAAAACGCAGAAACAGCAAUAUUAGCACCAUGCAACAAAGUAAAAAACCGCUAGAAGAAUUCAGUUUUCCUGUAUCCUGAAGUGGCAUAGAAAGAUCUACGGCGGCCUAUCAGGGUUAUUGUAGUUCUGUGUUUCUAACAUAACGUGUGCAGUUAUUUUUAUUUUAUUCCCUAGUAAAACCAGGAGGCUGAGUGUGGAGGCGUUCCCAGUCCAGCCAGGAGACAUCCAGCGUGUCCUGGGCCUCCUCCCAGUGGGACGUGCCCAGAACACCUCGCUAAGAACUGAAAUUUUCUUGUUUUUUCUUGAAAAUUUCUGAGAUUCAUUUAAAAAUUCCUGAGUUUUCUUGGCAGAAAUGUUCUUUUCUUUUUUCUACCUACUACAGCUGCUCCACUUCCUGCUUUUGGAGCGGUCUCAGGUCCGCUUGGCGUUCACAUAUGCAUUUGAAGCGCCCCAAAGUUCCCUACAACCGAAUCGAGACCGAGGGUUCAUACAUUUUCCCAAUUCAAGCACUUUUCAAGCAUUUUCAAGCGAUGCUAAAGAGGCUAGGAGAAAAUCCUUGAAGCACAACUACCACAGUCAGCAAACACAUCGGAGCCAUGAAUGCGGUUUGAAUACAUAUAUGAACACCAAGCGGACCAGACACAGGAAGUGGACUACAGCGCAGGGCAUUUUGGUGAGCAUCAGAAAAAAGAGCUCAUUCAUGCAGAAAAGCAGCUCUGGAGGAAACAAAAUAACAGAAGUAAAUCAGGAAAAGGUAAGUUGGUUCCUCACACUGAAUGCUGGUUUUGUUCAUUUAAGGUUCUGAAGAGAAGAUGUGAUACAUUGUGGUGAUUUUUUGUCAGAAAUUCAAAGCAAUCCUGAAGCUUAAAAAGAAAAAUGUAGCGAGCAACCAAAGCCGAAUUAAUGUGGCUGGGCUUUGCUGGGGUUGCUAGGCAACGGCACAGUGCCAAUUGAGUGUGUCUUAAAAAUUGUGAGGUUUUAAAUUGGCUCAUUUUCAAGGCACCAAAAGACAUGAACUUAUUGGCAAAAAACUGCUGGGUAGGUUUUUUAAGUGCAUUGUUUGUUUUUAGAAGCAACAGAAACACAAAUGGAAGAACAAAACAAGCAAAAUGUAAAUUUUGAGUCACAGGUCUCCUUUAAUAAAUUUAAGUGGACUUAGCGAAAGACUCCAUUUUUUCACUGGACUAUCUGAAAGCUGCCACUUUCCCUCCUAAAGCUUUAAAACGCCCACAGUGACAUUUAGCAGAAGGUUAAUUACAGGCCAGCUCAUUCUUCAGGGUUAAAAACGAGGCCUUUCAACAGCACAACACCGUAAGACUAAUCAGGAACCCUGCAGCCUAAUGAGCUGAUCCCAAACAGCAGAGGUCCCUGAACGCAUCGUCAGCCCGUCCUGAGGUGUGUCAGGUUAACGCCACAGCGGUCAUAGUGUGGGCGGGCGGCGCGUAGGAUGCUUCUGAGGACAUCAUCACAACAUCUACGUCUUGGUUUUUAAAGAAAUAAGAAGCUAAAAACUCUCCCAGCUCACCUAAUAAAUCUAUUCACCACUCAAGUAUACCAGUUAUGAAUAUUUCAAGGUAAACAAUCAAAGAAAAAAUUCUAUUUUCUAACCUAUUUAAAGGUAAAAUGCUAUUUCCUCUGGGUUGCUAAAAGUAAAAUGUUUUAAUUUAGUUGAAUUCUUGUUCAACAUUUAACAGAAAAUAAAACAUUUCUUCACUUCUUUCCAUUUGAUUUCUGUCAAACAUUUGUGAAAAUGUUAAUCUGUUAUGGUCUCAGAUGAAACUGUACUCAAAUGUAGAAAUAGAGCUCCAUCUGGUGGAUGAGAUCAGAACUGCACAGCUCCGUUUCUGUAAAUAAACCAACUUUUACAAGUAAA
Long non-coding RNA from Xiphophorus hellerii (green swordtail), 2878 nucleotides. RefSeq lists it as uncharacterized. The record is from RefSeq and is a predicted model, not a curated record. NCBI's taxonomy places the organism in Eukaryota, Metazoa, Chordata, Actinopteri, Cyprinodontiformes, Poeciliidae. The transcript is spliced from 5 exons.